RNAcentral lists this ribosomal RNA (831 nucleotides) under Microbacterium sp. MOLA 1524. Its description in RNAcentral is "bacterial SSU rRNA". It matches the Rfam family "Bacterial small subunit ribosomal RNA", at positions 23 to 865 of the family's 1533-position model. Lineage: Bacteria; Bacillati; Actinomycetota; Actinomycetes; Micrococcales; Microbacteriaceae. The record is from RNAcentral. RNAcentral also lists the same sequence under 1 other name.
CUCAGGAUGAACGCUGGCGGCGUGCUUAACACAUGCAAGUCGAACGGUGAAAGAGAGCUUGCUCUCUGGAUCAGUGGCGAACGGGUGAGUAACACGUGAGCAAUCUGCCCCUGACUCUGGGAUAACAGUUGGAAACAGCUGCUAAUACCGGAUACGAGACGUGAAGGCAUCUUCAACGUCUGGAAAGAACUUCGGUCAGGGAUGAGCUCGCGGCCUAUCAGCUAGUUGGUGAGGUAAUGGCUCACCAAGGCGUCGACGGGUAGCCGGCCUGAGAGGGUGACCGGCCACACUGGGACUGAGACACGGCCCAGACUCCUACGGGAGGCAGCAGUGGGGAAUAUUGCACAAUGGGCGCAAGCCUGAUGCAGCAACGCCGCGUGAGGGACGACGGCCUUCGGGUUGUAAACCUCUUUUAGCAAGGAAGAAGCGAAAGUGACGGUACUUGCAGAAAAAGCACCGGCUAACUACGUGCCAGCAGCCGCGGUAAUACGUAGGGUGCAAGCGUUAUCCGGAAUUAUUGGGCGUAAAGAGCUCGUAGGCGGUUUGUCGCGUCUGCUGUGAAAUCUGGGGGCUCAACCCCCAGCCUGCAGUGGGUACGGGCAGACUAGAGUGCGGUAGGGGAGAUUGGAAUUCCUGGUGUAGCGGUGGAAUGCGCAGAUAUCAGGAGGAACACCGAUGGCGAAGGCAGAUCUCUGGGCCGUAACUGACGCUGAGGAGCGAAAGGGUGGGGAGCAAACAGGCUUAGAUACCCUGGUAGUCCACCCCGUAAACGUUGGGAACUAGUUGUGGGGUCCAUUCCACGGAUUCCGUGACGCAGCUAACGCAUUAAGU